Molecule: non-coding RNA, 240 nt
Filed under: Bacillus sp. (in: firmicutes)
Lineage: Bacteria; Bacillati; Bacillota; Bacilli; Caryophanales; Bacillaceae
Description: Bacillus sp. T-box sequence
Rfam family: T-box leader
About the family: Uncharged tRNA acts as the effector for transcription antitermination of genes in the T-box leader family. T-boxes are found upstream of many aminoacyl-tRNA synthetase genes and some amino acid biosynthetic genes usually in Gram-positive bacteria.
Source: RNAcentral
GAAAAAGUGUUGAUGAGGAGAAGUAAAGAAACGAAGUUUGAAAGAGAGAACCAUCACCGGCUGAAAGUGGUUUAGGCCUCUCGUUUCUUGAAAUGCACCUCUGAAUCUUAUUCCGAACGAUGUAUUUUAGUAGGAAUAAGCGGUUUUCCUAUCGUUAAAAGGACGAAGUUGGGAUGCAAGAAGUAGUCAUACUUAUAUUGCAUUCAAACAGAGUGGAACCGCGUAGAAAGCGUCUCUGUC